Molecule: long non-coding RNA, 3021 nt
Organism: Seriola aureovittata
Lineage: Eukaryota; Metazoa; Chordata; Actinopteri; Carangiformes; Carangidae
Exons: 2
Source: RefSeq, a predicted model, not a curated record
GCAUGGCAAAAAAAGUCAUAGUAUAGCAUGGCAAAAAAAGUCAUAGUAUAGUAAGGCAUAAAAAGUCAUAAAAAAGUCAUAGUAUAGCAUGGCAAAAAAAGUCAUAAAAAGUCAUAGUAUAGCAUGGCAAAAAAAGUCAUAGUAUAGCAAGGCAUAAAAAGUCAUAAAAAAGUCAUAGUAUAGUAAGGCAUAAAAAGUCAUAGUAUAGUAAGGCAAAAAAAGUCAUAAAAAAGUCAUAGUAUAGCAUGGCAUAAAAAGUCAUAGUAUAGCAUGGCAUAAAAAGUCAUAAAAAAGUCAUAGUAUAGCAUGGCAAAAAAAGUCAUAAAAAAGUCAUAGUAUAGCAUGGCAUAAAAAGUCAUAGUAUAGCAUGGCAUAAAAAGUCAUAAAAAAGUCAUAGUAUAGCAUGGCAUAAAAAGUCAUAAAAAAUCAUAGUAUAGCAUGGCAUAAAAAGUCAUAGUAUAGCAAGGCAUAAAAAAUCAUAGUAUAGUAAGGCAUAAAAAGUCAUAAAAAGUCAUAGUAUAGCAAGGCAUAAAAAGUCAUAGUAUAGCAUGGCAUAAAAAGUCAUAGUAUAGCAUGGCAUAAAAAGUCAUAAAAAAGUCAUAGUAUAGCUUGGCAUAAAAAAGUCAUACUAUAGUAAGGCAAAAAAAGUCAUAAAAAAGUCAUAGUAUAGCAUGGCAUAAAAAGUCAUAGUAUAGCAAGGCAUAAAAAGUCAUAGUAUAGUAAGGCAAAAAAAGUCAUAAAAAAGUCAUAGUAUAGCAUGGCAAAAAAAGUCAUAAAAAAGUCAUAGUAUAGCAUGGCAAAAAAAGUCAUAGUAUAGUAAGGCAUAAAAAGUCAUAGUAUAGCAUGGCAUAAAAAGUCAUAGUAUAGCAUGGCAUAAAAAGUCAUACUAUAGUAAGGCAAAAAAAGUCAUAGUAUAGCAUGGCAUAAAAAGUCCUAAAAAAGUCAUAGUAUAGCAUGGCAUAAAAAGUCCUAAAAAAGUCAUAGUAUAGCAUGGCAUAAAAAGUCAUAAAAAAGUCAUAGUAUAGCAUGGCAUAAAAAGUCAUAGUAUAGUAAGGCAUAAAAAGUCAUAAAAAAGUCAUAGUAUAGCAUGGCAUAAAAAGUCAUAAAAAAGUCAUAGUAUAGCAUGGCAUAAAAAGUCAUAGUAUAGUAAGGCAUAAAAAGUCAUAAAAAAGUCAUAAAAAAGUCAUAGUAUAGCAAGGCAUAAAAAGUCAUAAAAAAGUCAUAGUGUAGUAAGGCAUAAAAAGUCAUAAAAAAGUCAUAGUAUAGCAUGGCAUAAAAAGUCAUAAAAAAGUCAUAGUAUAGUAAGGCAAAAAAAAGUCAUAAAAAAGUCAUAGUAUAGCAUGGCAUAAAAAGUCAUAGUAUAGCAUGGCAUAAAAAGUCAUAGUAUAGCAAGGCAUAAAAAGUCAUAAAAAAGUCAUAGUGUAGUAAGGCAUAAAAAGUCAUAAAAAAGUCAUAGUAUAGCAUGGCAUAAAAAGUCAUAAAAAAGUCAUAGUAUAGCAUGGCAUAAAAAGUCAUAGUAUAGCAAGGCAUAAAAAGUCAUAGUAUAGCAUGGCAUAAAAAGUCAUAGUAUAGCAUGGCAUAAAAAGUCAUAAAAAAGUCAUAGUAUAGCAUGGCAAAAAAAGUCAUAGUAUAGCAUGGCAUAAAAAGUCAUAGUAUAGUAAGGCAUAAAAAGUCAUAAAAAAGUCAUAGUAUAGCAUGGCAUAAAAAGUCAUAGUAUAGCAUGGCAAAAAAAGUCAUAAAAAAGUCAUAGUAUAGCAUGGCAUAAAAAAGUCAUAGUAUAGUAAGGCAAAAAAAGUCAUAAAAAAGUCAUAGUAUAGCAUGGCAAAAAAAGUCAUAGUAUAGUAAGGCAUAAAAAGUCAUAAAAAAGUCAUAGUGUAGUAAGGCAUAAAAAGUCAUAAAAAAGUCAUAGUAUAGCAUGGCAUAAAAAGUCAUAAAAAAGUCAUAGUAUAGCAUGGCAUAAAAAGUCAUAAAAAAGUCAUAGUAUAGUAAGGCAAAAAAAGUCAUAGUAUAGCAUGGCAUAAAAAGUCAUAAAAAAGUCAUAGUGUAGUAAGGCAUAAAAAGUCAUAAAAAAGUCAUAGUAUAGCAUGGCAUAAAAAGUCAUAAAAAAGUCAUAGUAUAGUAAGGCAAAAAAAGUCAUAAAAAAGUCAUAGUAUAGCAUGGCAUAAACAGUCCUAAAAAUGUCAUAGUAUAGUAAGGCAUAAAAAGUCAUAAAAAAGUCAUAGUAUAGUAAGGCAAAAAAAGUCAUAAAAAAGUCAUAGUAUAGCAUGGCAUAAAAAGUCAUAGUAUAGCAUGGCAUAAAAAGUCAUAGUAUAGUAAGGCAAAAAAAGUCAUAAAAAAGUCAUAAAAAAGUCAUAGUAUAGUAAGGCAUAAAAAGUCAUAAAAAAGUCAUAGUAUAGCAUGGCAAAAAAAGUCAUAAAAAAGUCAUAGUAUAGUAAGGCAAAAAAAGUCAUAAAAAAGUCAUAGUAUAGCAUGGCAAAAAAAGUCAUAGUAUAGUAAGGCAUAAAAAGUCAUAGUAUAGUAAGGCAAAAAAAGUCAUAAAAAAGUCAUAGUAUAGUAAGGCAUAAAAAGUCAUAAAAAAGUCAUAGUGUAGUAAGGCAUAAAAAGUCAUAAAAAAGUCAUAGUGUAGUAAGGCAUAAAAAGUCAUAAAAAAGUCAUAGUAUAGCAUGGCAUAAAAAGUCAUAGUGUAGUAAGGCAAAAAAGUCAUAAAAAAGUCAUAGUAUAGCAUGGCAUAAAAAGUCAUAGUAUAGCAAGGCAAAAAAAGUCAUAAAAAAGUCAUAGUAUAGCAUGGCAUAAAAAGUCAUAAAAAAGUCGUAGUAUAGCAUGGCAAAAAAAGUCCUAAAAAAGUCAUAGUAUAGUAAGGCAAAAAAAGUCAUAGUAUAGUAAGGCAUAAAAAGUCAUAGUAUAGUAAGGCAAAAAAAGUCCUAAAAAAGUCAUAGUAUAGCAUGGCAUAAAAAGUCAUAAAAAAGUCAUAGUAUAGUAAGGCAUAAAAAGUCAUAGUAUAGCAUGGCAUAAAAAGUCAUA